UUCAUUAAACUCAUUUCAGGACACAUCCAAAAAUAACAACUGUAGCACAUCAUAAACUCCUCACAUUUUGACAUACGGAAGGAUGCACUGCAGACAUCGUCCAAGGUCAUUUAUCCCAAGUAAAUAAAGAGCAUCCCAAAAUUUGAAGGCAGUUGAAACUAAAGAUCGGUAUACAAAGGCAACAGGCAUCAUUGUGCCAGCAAUAUUUGACCAUGUCUUUAAACUAUGCUAUAACAAUUCACAAGGAUUCAAGUUUGAUGUGAACUUUAAGCACAUAAAAGUGAAAAUAAACUCUCCAAUGAAAUUGGAAAAACAAGAAUCCGAAACUGAGAACAGACUAUAUGGCACAUAAAAAGUUGGAUUGAGGGAACAAGGCCUAUUACCCAAGUGGGAAGACAUGGGAGUAAAUGGGGGAAGAGAAGUGCUUGAAAAAAAAAGUGUCCUUGGUCAUCUUACUUAUCAACUUAGGGCACGUUUGGCCACCUGAUUACUUGGUAACAAUUUCCUACUUUUGGCUUCUGGGUGUAUGGUAGCUCAUUCCGUAUCCAUUAAAACAAAUGAAUUGGAGAAUCCAUAUGAGUUUUUUCAGUUCUCCUUAUUUUUUUAACACUAAAAAAAACCUAUUUUGCACAUAUUAUCCAAAUACUUCCUUCCCUGUCUCCAUUUUUUUGGACAGUGAGUGAACAGAGCGAGCAAAUAGGUAUACCUUUUCCAAUUAAGCUUUUGCAAUUUUUGAAGAAUGAUUCUCAACUAAGUGAAAAGGGGUGAACGCUUGUCGUUUGCCAGACUUUUUGGGAGCUAAAAUCCAAAGAUUUGGAUUAUAAUUGAAACACUUAUACUUUACAAUUCAUAAUCCAAAACCUACAAAAUAACUGGAAGAUGCUUUCGCUCACAGCUAAUGCUUCCUUUGCUCCGAAUUUUCUCAAUCCAGACGAACUACACGAGAACUACAAGUACAACAAAUAAACUUAUCGACGAAUUUACCGUCUCGAAUGGUUUUCUUUCUACGGAGAAACUUUUUUCCAUGA
Rhododendron vialii is the source of this 1028-nucleotide long non-coding RNA. RefSeq lists it as uncharacterized. The transcript is spliced from 2 exons. The record is from RefSeq and is a predicted model, not a curated record. Lineage: Eukaryota; Viridiplantae; Streptophyta; Magnoliopsida; Ericales; Ericaceae.